CUCAGGACGAACGCUGGCGGCGUGCCUAAUACAUGCAAGUCGAACGGUCUUUCUAUGGAAGCUUGCUUCCACUGAGAAGAUAGUGGCGAACGGGUGAGUAACACGUGGGUAACCUGCCCAUAAGAGGGGGAUAACAUCCGGAAACGGGUGCUAAUACCGCAUAGUUUUCUUGAUCGCAUGAUUGAGAAAGGAAAGACGGCCUUUGUGCUGUCGCUUAUGGAUGGACCCGCGGCGUAUUAGUUAGUUGGUGAGGUAACGGCUCACCAAGACGAUGAUACGUAGCCGACCUGAGAGGGUGAUCGGCCACAUUGGGACUGAGACACGGCCCAAACUCCUACGGGAGGCAGCAGUAGGGAAUCUUCCGCAAUGGACGAAAGUCUGACGGAGCAACGCCGCGUGAGUGAAAGAAGGUUUUCGGAUCGUAAAACUCUGUUGUUAGAGAAGAACAAGUUGGAGAGUAACUGCUCCAGCCUUGACGGUAUCUGACCAGAAAGCCACGGCUAACUACGUGCCAGCAGCCGC
Molecule: ribosomal RNA, 522 nt
Filed under: uncultured bacterium
Lineage: Bacteria
Description: bacterial SSU rRNA
Rfam family: Bacterial small subunit ribosomal RNA
Source: RNAcentral